This 415-nucleotide unclassified non-coding RNA is filed under the name Hevea brasiliensis (rubber tree). Lineage: Eukaryota; Viridiplantae; Streptophyta; Magnoliopsida; Malpighiales; Euphorbiaceae. The record is from RNAcentral.
UUAUUUUAUUUUAUUUUUUUGCUUCUUGCGCUGUCAACUAUCACUUUUUAGAUAACGAGAUUUUGGAUGUUUUAGUUUGGUAUGAAAUGCAACUUCAGUUUUGACUUGUCAUUAUAGUACAUUUGCUUCUUUUUUUUUUUUCUGAGCUGGCCCCUUUUCUCUCUGUGGUCUUGUGGUUGCAGAGUUGGUCCUUUAUCGUGGUUAAGCGGGGCAUUAUUAUUUGUUUUAUUUGUAAAACCCAUUGCGGCCUGGUCUAGCAUUGUGUUUUAGAAUUUAAGGGUGGUAAUAGUUUGCGUAUCCGACUUAGUCUGCCUUGCGUCUGAUCAAUUUUUUUCGAUCUUUCCUACUUUGAUAUUUUGUAGGGUGGGACUCGGAGUUCUCUUCCUUGAAUUUCUGUAAUUUGUUUUAAUAAAAA